Molecule: ribosomal RNA, 465 nt
Filed under: Vreelandella stevensii
Lineage: Bacteria; Pseudomonadati; Pseudomonadota; Gammaproteobacteria; Oceanospirillales; Halomonadaceae
Description: partial 16S ribosomal RNA
Rfam family: Bacterial small subunit ribosomal RNA
Source: RNAcentral
CCUACGGGAGGCUGCAGUGGGGAAUAUUGGACAAUGAGGGGAACCCUGAUCCAGCCAUGCCGCGUGUGUGAAGAAGGCCCUCGGGUUGUAAAGCACUUUCAGUGAGGAAGAACGCCUGGUGGUUAAUACCCAUCAGGAAAGACAUCACUCACAGAAGAAGCACCGGCUAACUCCGUGCCAGCAGCCGCGGUAAUACGGAGGGUGCGAGCGUUAAUCGGAAUUACUGGGCGUAAAGCGCGCGUAGGUGGCUUGAUAAGCCGGUUGUGAAAGCCCCGGGCUCAACCUGGGAACGGCGUCCGGAACUGUCAAGCUAGAGUGCAGGAGAGGAAGGUAGAAUUCCCGGUGUAGCGGUGAAAUGCGUAGAGAUCGGGAGGAAUACCAGUGGCGAAGGCGGCCUUCUGGACUGACACUGACACUGAGGUGCGAAAGCGUGGGUAGCAAACAGGAUUAGAUACCCCAGUAGUC